Tympanuchus pallidicinctus (lesser prairie-chicken) is the source of this 290-nucleotide long non-coding RNA. RefSeq lists it as uncharacterized. The record is from RefSeq and is a predicted model, not a curated record. Lineage: Eukaryota; Metazoa; Chordata; Aves; Galliformes; Phasianidae. The transcript has 3 exons.
AACACCUGGAUGAAGUUGGAGGAAAGCUCAUACUUAGUGGCCGCUCUGGAAGAUAAAGAAAAUCCAGAAGGGAAGGGAGAAAUGGAUGAAUUGCUCUAUGUCAUACAAGGGAAUUCACAAGGCUGCAGUUGUGCAUGUACCUGCCUGUUAUCCAAGCCUAUGGAGCCAUGCAUGAAAGAUUCAGCUUCCUCUUACCUCCACGUUGCUGUGGAAAGUGGAAGUAUUGUGAGCUUUGUAGUCCGGGAUGUGUCUGCUGAUACAGCUGUACCAGUCAUCCCUUUCCAAGCAAG